UGUAAUCUUUGGUGGCGGUGCAGGGUUCUCAUGUCAAAUGUCAAAACGAAGUUACUAUAAAUAAAACCUUGAUGCAAUAAUGAAAGGUGUUAUAGGUUGGUUUUGCAUUUAUUAGGUCAUUUCCUUACUGUUUCCUGGCCGACCUGUGCUGGUAUUGUGAUUAAGAGCUAAUACACCAUCCUCUGGGGAACUGCAGCUGCAGCCGAAUUUGAUUGUGUGCACCAUCGUGCAGAUGAAUUUUUCCUGUUGCGCCUUUGUGCGCGUUGGAGUAAGUUGCAAACCAUUGGAGACGGUUAAGGUGUGUCGGACAGGGGCCAAAGUUAAGAUUCCUCUAUGGAGACUCAAAAAAUUAAUAUUAUUGUUUUCAUCUAGUACCUAAAAUCGCUACUACUAUAGCGACUCCAAUCGGGACCAAAAUUUAUAUGUGCUACCAAA
Long non-coding RNA from Rhagoletis zephyria (snowberry fruit fly), 435 nucleotides. RefSeq lists it as uncharacterized. Lineage: Eukaryota; Metazoa; Arthropoda; Insecta; Diptera; Tephritidae. The record is from RefSeq and is a predicted model, not a curated record.